CACGUGGGUAACCUGCCCAUCAGAAGGGGAUAACACUUGGAAACAGGUGCUAAUACCGUAUAACAAUCGAAACCGCAUGGUUUUGAUUUGAAAGGCGCUUUCGGGUGUCGCUGAUGGAUGGACCCGCGGUGCAUUAGCUAGUUGGUGAGGUAACGGCUCACCAAGGCCACGAUGCAUAGCCGACCUGAGAGGGUGAUCGGCCACAUUGGGACUGAGACACGGCCCAAACUCCUACGGGAGGCAGCAGUAGGGAAUCUUCGGCAAUGGACGAAAGUCUGACCGAGCAACGCCGCGUGAGUGAAGAAGGUUUUCGGAUCGUAAAACUCUGUUGUUAGAGAAGAACAAGGAUGAGAGUAACUGUUCAUCCCUUGACGGUAUCUAACCAGAAAGCCACGGCUAACUACGUGCCAGCAGCCGCGGUAAUACGUAGGUGGCAAGCGUUGUCCGGAUUUAUUGGGCGUAAAGCGAGCGCAGGCGGUUUCUUAAGUCUGAUGUGAAAGCCCCCGGCUCAACCGGGGAGGGUCAUUGGAAACUGGGAGACUUGAGUGCAGAAGAGGAGAGUGGAAUUCCAUGUGUAGCGGUGAAAUGCGUAGAUAUAUGGAGGAACACCAGUGGCGAAGGCGGCUCUCUGGUCUGUAACUGACGCUGAGGCUCGAAAGCGUGGGGAGCAAACAGGAUUAGAUACCCUGGUAGUCCACGCCGUAAACGAUGAGUGCUAAGUGUUGGAGGGUUUCCGCCCUUCAGUGCUGCAGCUAACGCAUUAAGCACUCCGCCUGGGGAGUACGACCGCAAGGUUGAAACUCAAAGGAAUUGACGGGGGCCCGCACAAGCGGUGGAGCAUGUGGUUUAAUUCGAAGCAACGCGAAGAACCUUACCAGGUCUUGACAUCCUUUGACCACUCUAGAGAUAGAGCUUCCCCUUCGGGGGCAAAGUGACAGGUGGUGCAUGGUUGUCGUCAGCUCGUGUCGUGAGAUGUUGGGUUAAGUCCCGCAACGAGCGCAACCCUUAUUGUU
This 1013-nucleotide ribosomal RNA is filed under the name Enterococcus faecium. RNAcentral describes it as "bacterial SSU rRNA". It matches the Rfam family "Bacterial small subunit ribosomal RNA", at positions 114 to 1112 of the family's 1533-position model. Lineage: Bacteria; Bacillati; Bacillota; Bacilli; Lactobacillales; Enterococcaceae. The record is from RNAcentral.